Molecule: ribosomal RNA, 770 nt
Filed under: uncultured archaeon
Lineage: Archaea
Description: bacterial SSU rRNA
Rfam family: Archaeal small subunit ribosomal RNA
Source: RNAcentral
CUCAGUAACACGUGGAUAACCUUCCCUUAGGACCGGAAUAACCCCGGGAAACUGGGGAUAAUACCGGAUAAGCCAUAGACGCUGGAAUGCCCUAUGGUUCAAAGCUCCGGCGCCUAAGGAUGGAUCUGCGGUCUAUCAGGUUGUAGUGGGUGUAACGUACCUACUAGCCGACGACGGAUACGGGUUGUGAGAGCAAGAGCCCGGAGAUGGAUUCUGAGACACGAAUCCAGGCCCUACGGGGUGCAGCAGGCGCGAACACUUUACAAUGCGGGAAACCGCGAUAAGGGAACCCCGAGUGCCAGCAUCAAAUGUUGGCUGUCCAGAUGAUUAAAAAUCAUUUGUUAGCAAGGGCCGGGCAAGACCGGUGCCAGCCGCCGCGGUAACACCGGCGGCCCGAGUGGUAGCCGUUUUUAUUGGGUCUAAAGGGUCCGUAGCCGGCCUGAUAAGUCCUUUGGGAAAUCUGGCAGCUUAACUGUCAGGCUUCUAAGGGAUACUGUCAGGCUUGGGACCGGAAGAGGUAAGGGGUACUCCAGGGGUAGGAGUGAAAUCUUGUAAUCCCUGGGGCACCAUCUGUGGCGAAGGCGCCUUACCAGAACGGGUCCGACGGUGAGGGACGAAAGCUAGGGGAGCAAACCGGAUUAGAUACCCGGGUAGUCCUAGCUGUAAACGAUGCUCGCUAGGUGUCAGACACGGUGCGACCGUGUUUGGUGCCGCAGGGAAGCCGUUAAGCGAGCCACCUGGGAAGUACGGUCGCAAGGCUGAAACUAAAG